This 1315-nucleotide ribosomal RNA is filed under the name unidentified marine bacterioplankton. RNAcentral describes it as "bacterial SSU rRNA". It matches the Rfam family "Bacterial small subunit ribosomal RNA", at positions 9 to 1371 of the family's 1533-position model. The record is from RNAcentral.
GAGUUUGAUCAUGGCUCAGAACGUACGCUGGCGGCACGCCUAACACAUGCAAGUCGAACGAAGUAGCAAUACUUAGUGGCAGACGGGUGAGUAACAUGUAGGUAUCUGCCCUAUGGCCUGGAAUAACACGAGGAAACUUGUGCUAAUACCGGAUAAGUCUUUACGGAGAAAGCUUUAUGCACCAUUGGAUGAGCCUGCACUUGAUUAGUUUGUUGGUGGGGUAAUGGCCUACCAAGACUGUGAUCAAUAGCUGAUUUGAGAGGAUGAUCAGCCACAUUGGGACUGAGACACGGCCCAAACUCCUACGGGAGGCAGCAGUGGGGAAUCUUGCACAAUGGAGGAAACUCUGAUGCAGCGAUGCCGCGUGAGUGAAGAAGGCCCUUGGGUUGUAAAGCUCUUUCGUCGGGGAAGAAAAUGACUGUACCCGAAUAAGAAGGUCCGGCUAACUUCGUGCCAGCAGCCGCGGUAAUACGAAGGGACCUAGCGUAGUUCGGAAUUACUGGGCUUAAAGAGUUCGUAGGUGGUUGAAAAAGUUGGUGGUGAAAUCCCAGAGCUUAACUCUGGAACUGCCAUCAAAACUUUUCAGCUAGAGUAUGAUAGAGGAAAGCAGAAUUUCUAGUGUAGAGGUGAAAUUCGUAGAUAUUAGAAAGAAUACCAAUUGCGAAGGCAGCUUUCUGGAUCAUUACUGACACUGAGGAACGAAAGCAUGGGUAGCGAAGAGGAUUAGAUACCCUCGUAGUCCAUGCCGUAAACGAUGUGUGUUAGACGUUGGAAAUUUAUUUUCAGUGUCGCAGCGAAAGCGAUAAACACACCGCCUGGGGAGUACGACCGCAAGGUUAAAACUCAAAUGAAUUGACGGGGACCCGCACAAGUAGUGGAGCAUGUGGUUUAAUUCGAAGAUACGCGCAGAACCUUACCAACACUUGACAUGUUCGUCGCGACUCUAAGAGAUUAGAGUUUUCGGUUCGGCCGGACGAAACACAGGUGCUGCAUGGCUGUCGUCAGCUCGUGUCGUGAGAUGUUGGGUUAAGUCCCGCAACGAGCGCAACCCUCACUUUUAGUUGCCAUCAUUAAGUUGGGCACUCUGAAAGAACUGCCAGUGAUAAGCUGGAGGAAGGUGGGGAUGACGUCAAGUCCUCAUGGCCCUUACGUGUUGGGCUACACACGUGCUACAAUGGUAUCUACAACAGGAAGCAAGACGGCGACGUUAAGCAAAUCCUUAAAAGAUACCUCAGUUCGGAUUGCACUCUGCAACUCGAGUGCAUGAAGCUGGAAUUACUAGUAAUCGUGGAUCAGCGUGCCACGGUGAAUGCGU